This 253-nucleotide ribosomal RNA is filed under the name uncultured bacterium. RNAcentral's name for it is "partial 16S ribosomal RNA". It matches the Rfam family "Bacterial small subunit ribosomal RNA", at positions 524 to 776 of the family's 1533-position model. The record is from RNAcentral.
GACAGAGGGUGCUAGCGUUGUUCGGAAUUACUGGGCGUAAAGGGCGCGUAGGCGGCCCGCUAAGUUCGGUGUGAAAUCCCCCGGCUCAACUGGGGAACUGCGCUGGAAACUGGCGGACUCGAGUACCGGAGAGGAGGGUGGAAUUCCUGGUGUAGCGGUGAAAUGCGUAGAUAUCAGGAGGAACACCGGUGGCGAAGGCGGCCCUCUGGACGGAUACUGACGCUGAGGCGCGAAAGCGUGGGGAUCAAACAGG